CACAGCAGCAUUAAGAGCAGAGCAGCCUGCUGUGAGCAAGGAGAAUUGUGAGCCGUGCGUAUAUUGCAUCGAGCAGCUCAGACAACGCUUACACCAGCAUGGGAGGUGAUGCCACGACAGCCACCGCACAUCUGCAGGCAAAACUGAGGCAGAGUGGCAUAGGAGGGGUCACGGUGGACAUCCCAAAACACCUUCCUUCAAUAGAAACUCAUUCCCUGUUGGUAUUCUGAGCCAGAGGAAGACUACUAGCUACAGAACUAAAAAUGAGUUAUUGAUCAGAGCCAAACUAGUGUGACUUGUUAUGGGCAAACAGAAUAAAGUCCAAGCUGCUAAUGUCCAAACACGGAGUUUUAAAAGGGCCAGUUUCUGAAGCUGAAAACAUUCAGCUUUGGGCUAAAUCAGCUGGGAGAGAAACGCAAAUAGAAGAAAUGGAACAGUUGGGAAACUGGAGGUUUUCUUGGUGCUGAAAUAUCACAACUGAGAAAGAAGUUUGGUUAGAGGGAAAAUAAAGCUGUUGCAAAAAUUAAAUAUCAAAUACGCAGAUGUGCUCUCUGUAUGGAUUUGUGUAUAUGGAGAUAUGAGGGGGAAGAGAGAAGCCAACAACAAUAACUAAUGUGACAGCUAAUUUAAUUGAUUUCAACUGCAGAAAAUUGACCAGAGGACAGGAAUACAUUUGUGGACAAUAGAUUUAAGGACAAUAAGAUGUCUUUUUUAAACCGAGUCAAAACAAAGGAUAUCAUAAAGCAGUUCUGGUCCAUUUCUACACAGAAAUAGUGGCAAAAUAAAUAUCCAGCAAUGAUUCAAAGAAUGCAGAUGUAGCCAAUGAAUAUGAUGAGUCUAGACUUUGAACAGUGACGACGUAGAUUUCCUUCUCAAUUGGAAUCUUAGGAAACUUUAAAAAAAAAAAUUAACAGAAGUGUAAGAAGUCCAAAGGCAGCAAUUUAGAUUCAAGAGACAAAAAGAAAAAAAAAAUAGCCAACUUUUCAAAGCAUUAAAAUGUUAAAAGAGCUGGCAAAAAAGACUGUGAAUGACUUUGAUAAGUUUUGGGAAACAGGUUUCAUAGGUCUAGAAGCAAAGUGGCAUUGUGCCAGUAUUAAAAUGAGCAAACACAGGAGCUUGUGUAGCACUGCAGCAAGAUACCCAGAGAGCUGGUGGAGCCUUCAGUCCCAAGCUCGUCAGUAUUCAGCCCUACAGAGCCAAGCUGACCUGAUCGAGCAUUGCUGAAGGUCCUGCUCCAACCAGGAGGCUGGCCUCCAGUUCUCCAGUGUCCUUUCCAAUCAUUUCUAUGACUGCAAACGUGAUGCAGGUAAGUGUAUGGCUGCAGGGCGGCGUAGGCAAAUGGACUGAGGCAAGAAUUAAUGAGAAUGAAUUAAAAGGGAUAGUACAAUUCACAUCAGUGAGCCUAGGUAACGUAGAAAAUGGAUCGAAUUAGAAUAAUGACAGCUUUUUUUUCAGUGAGAUUACAAGUUUGCAUGAAAGAGGUUACCAGGGUUGAUGUAAUUUACUUGGACUUCUUCAGGGCAUUUUAGUUCAUGGCAUAGGGUGACAUAAAACAAGCAUGGAUCUCAUUAACUGGAUUAAACACUGGCUAACUAGUGCAUCUCAGGAUAUGACACUGUAAGCUAAGAGUCACCAUUUGGCAGGUGCUGUUUUUGGUGCAGCCCCUUCAAAUCAAACUCAGUAAGACGCACAAGAUUAUUCCCACUGAAGCCUGAAGAUGGCACAAAGACGGAACUACAAAGUAAUGAAGAGGAUAUAUAUCUCUUUGGUGCAGAACAACAUGGGUUACCUGGGCUCUUGCAAACAAUAUGCAUUUUAAUGCAGAAACGUGUGAAUCACAGCUGUGGAACAAAACAGGAGACCUCCUGACAACAGGGGAUUUCUACCAACGCAAACCUGAAAUCUGGAGAGGACUUGGAGGUCAUGGAUAUAUGUGCCAGUGUGAAAUCCAGUGUCAAGGGUAACAAGAUCCCGGGCUGUACAAACAGGAAAUAUCAAACAGGAAAAGGGAGGUUGCAUUAUCCCAGCCUUUCACACCAAGACAACUGCUGUUGGGAUCACUGCGUGCAGCCCAGGCGCUGUGAGCUGGGCAGGAAGGAGCCGGGAGGGCGCUGAGAAGAGCCAGAGGAUGACUGCAGCACUCAAAAGGUGCCAGGCUUCAGAGCUGCCAGGAUGCAGCCUGCUUGAGGGGUGAAAGAGCAGGUCAUGGGUGAUUUGGCCAUCAUUUGGUCAUUGGGGAAAACUGCAAGAAACACUGGUAAUGCAAGAUAUAUUGCUGUGGUGGUGUGGGCUGUAGGAGACUCGAGGGGACUAGGCAACCUGUACCACAUUACUCCAGCCUUCUGAGCUAUGAAUCCAUACACGCCAGCAUGGACGAAAGCAUGCAGUGUGAGCGCAUACACUGCCCUGCCUGGAAUCGUAAUGCAGAAUGGGAUCAUCCCGAACCCAUCCCAUCUAUUUGGAACUCAUCCAAACUUUAAAUGUUCUGCGAGUUCAGACACAAGAGAAACAUUUCUGCUCUUUCUGCUUUGCCCUGUGAUGAUAGCAGAAGAGCAGCAGAGACUGGGUGGGAAGAAAGUCGAGAGGACCCCGCCAAAUGAUGUCCUAGAAAAUAAUGACCAACCUUGGUGACUUGUUUCUCCCUCCUGGACCACACAGAGUCCUGACACCAAAAAAGCCCUUCUGCAUCCAGAGAGAGGAACAUCUCUGAUUCUUGACAAGCCAGGGUGCCAGAUGUUGGCAGUGCUGUGGAGCAUGCUGGCUGUUUGCCAGUCUCUUGAGGUUGGCAUGUUAAUUACACCUAAACAUACAGAAGAUUUGAAUCAGAUCUAACUGCUCACAAUUAUAACUUUAUAUUUGGACAGCAAAAGCACUCAGAAGUUCAUAAGGCAUGGGGUAAAACAAAAAUACACUUUCAGAGCUGUGGAGAAACAGCCUGAAGAACGUCCUAAAAAAAUGAAGAGUUUUAAAAGUGUGCCCUUCUAAUCUCUUAGCCCAUUUUAACUUGGUGAAACUGAUACACGUGCCAUAUCACAUAGCUGAGCCUCUCCUGGAGUCUUUUUUUUGGAGAUGACUUCUUACAGGUGAGAUUUUCUUGUUCACAACCUCUCUCCCAGCCUUGCAAAGCUAUAUUUCAGUGAUCCCUGAAGUUGUUUCCAGGGGUCAGAGACAGGCAAUAACACAGUGAAGAGGGGUUUCAUCUGAUACCUCUUCAUACCACACCUUCAUCCCUUCCAAGUCUGAGUUUCAUCUUUACACUAGCUGCAGAUCUUAAUAUCCUCUUCUUGUCCAUGGCCUGCAUGGCUCACACCUCUCCUGGCUGAUCUCCCUGCACAGCCAUGGGCUGUUUCAUAUUCCAUGCUAACAGCAAAUUUGAUCCUGACAUCACUUUCACCCACAGCCUGUUUGACAGACAGAAAUGAAGAAAAGCACAUGGUAGGGACAGUUAAUUGCCUGUGGCGUAGCUGAUUAAAAAGCUUUUAGAAAGAGCUUGGAACAAAUUUUUCUUCAAGAAGGAAGGACAGGUCUCCUGAUCAAAGCCAGGAGAUUCCUUUCUGUGACCUAAACUAAUGAUACAGAUGUUCUAGAUAGCCUAAUUCAUCACUGUUUUCACUGCUCAGAUGAACUAGACAAAUAGGACGUCCACAAAUAGGUCCAGAAACCAUUCCAAGUAACGACAGCCAUACCCAAGCCCUCCUCUGGUCCUGUGUGUCUAUCAGUCAACAGGCACGAAAAAUGAUGCAGGGCGAGGUCCUUUGCAAAACCUCAUUCCCCUCUGAAAACUCUAACAAAGGGUUCAGUCUUGAGCUGGAAAUGGAUCUGCAAACAAGGUGAAUCCGUUGUGUCCCUGAACAGUUCUAAACAGUUCAGCAAAGCCGUCUUGAAGUUACCUGUGCCCUUCAGCAUAGCUGUUGCUGUCAUUGCAGUAUUGCCUGAGAGUUUGAAAGAAAACAAGAGACGUCAUUCGGCAAAAGCCACUUCUGAAAAAGCCGCAAUGUUUUCUGUCAUCUUGCAAGCAAGAACAGAACUAAACAAUUCAUUGUCUAAACAGGAGAACUAAAGUGCCUAUGGGGGGAAAAAAAAAAAAACAACACACCUUGCCAUUUUCAGGCCCUGCAAUCUUUCAGCAUUAAAAAUGUAAAAGUGUACUAACUUCCAAAGCACAAAAAAAAAUUUACCAAACAUCUGGGAAGCUCCAGAUAAUUAUUGACUAUGCUCUUUAUCAAAAAAAAAUAAAUAAAA
Molecule: long non-coding RNA, 4242 nt
Organism: Oxyura jamaicensis (ruddy duck)
Lineage: Eukaryota; Metazoa; Chordata; Aves; Anseriformes; Anatidae
Exons: 2
Source: RefSeq, a predicted model, not a curated record